Molecule: ribosomal RNA, 279 nt
Filed under: uncultured bacterium
Lineage: Bacteria
Description: partial 16S ribosomal RNA
Rfam family: Bacterial small subunit ribosomal RNA
Source: RNAcentral
AUUGAACGCUGGCGGCGUGCUUAACACAUGCAAGUCGUGCGGUAACAGGCGUAGCAAUACGUGCUGACGAGCGGCGAACGGGUGCGUAAUACAUGGGAAUCUGCCUUUUAGUGGGGAAUAACCCGGCGAAAGCCGGGCUAAUGCCGCAUAAGAUCUUCGGAUGAAAGCGGGGAUCGUAAGACCGUCGCGCUGAUAGAUGAGCCCAUGCCGGAUUAGCUAGUUGGNGAGGUAACGGCGUCACCAAGGCGACGAUCCGUAGCUGGUCUGAGAGGACGGCCA